This 249-nucleotide ribosomal RNA is filed under the name Articulospora tetracladia. RNAcentral describes it as "partial large subunit ribosomal RNA". It matches the Rfam family "Eukaryotic large subunit ribosomal RNA", at positions 398 to 664 of the family's 3401-position model. Lineage: Eukaryota; Fungi; Ascomycota; Leotiomycetes; Helotiales; Discinellaceae. The record is from RNAcentral.
CGUGAAAUUGUUGAAAGGGAAGCGCUUGCAACCAGACUUGCACGCUGUUGAUCAUCCAGGCUUCUGUUUGGUGCACUCAACUGUGUUCAGGCCAGCAUCGGUUUUGGUGGUGGGAUAAAGGCCUUGGGAAUGUAGCUUCUUUCGGGGAGUGUUAUAGCCCUCGGUGCAAUGCCGCCUACUGGGACCGAGGACCGCGCUUCGGCUAGGAUGCUGGCGUAAUGGUUGUAAGCGACCCGUCUUGAAACACGG